AUAGCUCUUUAAAUGGUACUG
Molecule: microRNA, 21 nt
Filed under: Gadus morhua (Atlantic cod)
Lineage: Eukaryota; Metazoa; Chordata; Actinopteri; Gadiformes; Gadidae
Description: gmo-miR-458-3p
Gene: gmo-miR-458-3p
Source: miRBase by way of RNAcentral